RNAcentral lists this unclassified non-coding RNA (183 nucleotides) under Glomus sp. RNAcentral describes it as "partial contains 5.8S ribosomal RNA and internal transcribed spacer 2". The stretch from base 1 to 71 matches the Rfam family "5.8S ribosomal RNA", at positions 84 to 154 of the family's 154-position model. Lineage: Eukaryota; Fungi; Glomeromycota; Glomeromycetes; Glomerales; Glomeraceae. The record is from RNAcentral.
GUGAAUCAUCGAAUCUUUGAACGCAAAUUGCACUCUCUGGUAUUCCGGAGAGUAUGCCUGUUUGAGGGUCAGUUAAAUCGAAAUCGGUGUUGUUGCCGCGUUUCGUGGUGACGCGACGGAAUUGUGUUGUCUUACUUUCGGUUAAGUGACUCAAAAUUUUGCAUUAUUUUCUACAGGAUUGAA